Molecule: transfer RNA, 87 nt
Filed under: Patescibacteria group bacterium
Lineage: Bacteria
Description: tRNA-Ser
Rfam family: tRNA
About the family: Transfer RNA (tRNA) molecules are approximately 80 nucleotides in length. Their secondary structure includes four short double-helical elements and three loops (D, anti-codon, and T loops).
Source: RNAcentral
GGAGACGUGGCUGAGUGGCCGAAAGCGGCACCGUGCUAAGGUGUUAGGGGGGAAACUCCCUCGUGGGUUCGAAUCCCACCGUCUCCG